Molecule: ribosomal RNA, 646 nt
Filed under: uncultured Trichoderma
Lineage: Eukaryota; Fungi; Ascomycota; Sordariomycetes; Hypocreales; Hypocreaceae
Description: eukaryotic LSU rRNA
Rfam family: 5.8S ribosomal RNA (bases 253-406)
Source: RNAcentral
CUUGGUCAUUUAGAGGAAGUAAAAGUCGUAACAAGGUCUCCGUUGGUGAACCAGCGGAGGGAUCAUUACCGAGUUUACAACUCCCAAACCCAAUGUGAACCAUACCAAACUGUUGCCUCGGCGGGGUCACGCCCCGGGUGCGUCGCAGCCCCGGAACCAGGCGCCCGCCGGAGGGACCAACCAAACUCUUUCUGUAGUCCCCUCGCGGACGUUAUUUCUUACAGCUCUGAGCAAAAAUUCAAAAUGAAUCAAAACUUUCAACAACGGAUCUCUUGGUUCUGGCAUCGAUGAAGAACGCAGCGAAAUGCGAUAAGUAAUGUGAAUUGCAGAAUUCAGUGAAUCAUCGAAUCUUUGAACGCACAUUGCGCCCGCCAGUAUUCUGGCGGGCAUGCCUGUCCGAGCGUCAUUUCAACCCUCGAACCCCUCCGGGGGGUCGGCGUUGGGGAUCGGGAACCCCUAAGACGGGAUCCCGGUCCCGAAAUACAGUGGCGGUCUCGCCGCAGCCUCUCCUGCGCAGUAGUUUGCACAACUCGCACCGGGAGCGCGGCGCGUCCACGUCCGUAAAACACCCAACUUCUGAAAUGUUGACCUCGGAUCAGGUAGGAAUACCCGCUGAACUUAAGCAUAUCAAUAAGCGGAAGAGAUC